This 237-nucleotide unclassified non-coding RNA is filed under the name plant metagenome. RNAcentral describes it as "partial contains small subunit ribosomal RNA, internal transcribed spacer 1, and 5.8S ribosomal RNA". The record is from RNAcentral.
UCUCCGUUGGUGAACCAGCGGAGGGAUCAUUACCGAGUUUACAACUCCCAAACCCCACGUGAACCUUACCAAACGUUGCUUCGGCGGGAUGCCCCGGGCGCGGGCCGCAAGGCCUCAGCCCCGGAACCAGGCGCCCGCCGGAGGCCCAAACCAAACUCUUGUUUUUGUAGAAUCUUCUGAGUGGCCUUUCAGGCAAAAAAUGAAUCAAAACUUUCAACAACGGAUCUCUUGGUUCUG